CUGUUGGCGACCGGCGCACGGGUGAGUAACGCGUAUGCAACCUACCUACUACAGGGGAAUAACCCGGAGAAAUUCGGACUAAUACCGCAUAAUACAGGGGUCCCGCAUGGGAAUAUUUGUUAAAGAUUUAUCGGUAGUAGAUGGGCAUGCGUUCCAUUAGCCAGUUGGUGAGGUAACGGCUCACCAAAGCAACGAUGGAUAGGGGAACUGAGAGGUUUAUCCCCCACACUGGAACUGAGACACGGACCAG
Molecule: ribosomal RNA, 250 nt
Filed under: uncultured Bacteroidales bacterium
Lineage: Bacteria; Pseudomonadati; Bacteroidota; Bacteroidia; Bacteroidales
Description: partial 16S ribosomal RNA
Rfam family: Bacterial small subunit ribosomal RNA
Source: RNAcentral